RNAcentral lists this ribosomal RNA (386 nucleotides) under uncultured bacterium. Its description in RNAcentral is "bacterial SSU rRNA". It matches the Rfam family "Bacterial small subunit ribosomal RNA", at positions 29 to 416 of the family's 1533-position model. The record is from RNAcentral.
AUUGAACGCUGGCGGAAUGCUUUACACAUGCAAGUCGAGCGGCAGCGCGGGGGCAACCCUGGCGGCGAGCGGCGAACGGGUGAGUAACUUAUCGGAACGUACCCAGUCGUGGGGGAUAACUAUCCGAAAGGAUAGCUAAUACCGCAUACGUCCUGAGGGAGAAAGCGGGGGAUCGCAAGACCUCGCGCGAUUGGAGCGGCCGAUAUCGGAUUAGCUAGUUGGUGGGGUAAAGGCUCACCAAGGCGACGAUCCGUAGCGGGUCUGAGAGGACGACCCGCCACACUGGAACUGAGACACGGUCCAGACUCCUACGGGAGGCAGCAGUGGGGUAUUUUGGACAAUGGGGGCAACCCUGAUCCAGCCAUUCCGCGUGAGUGAAGAAGGCC